UCAGAAUUGAGGGAUUUUUGACUCAAAUUUCUUCGAUAAUUGAUAAUUUUAGAAAUUUAUGUAGUUCUGUAAAUUUACAAAGUUUGUUAUGCUACACACUCUAAACAAAGUUGAGCAAAGCUGGCUGAGUAAAAUGAAGUUGAUCAAAUUUUGUUCAACGUUGGACAAAAUUUAUGCUCCUAAAGCGUAAAAUUUACACAAUAAAGUUGUGUAAAGUAAGUUUUACUCAACAUUGAACAAAAUUUGACUUUUUCGCUGAUCAAAUAUAAAAUUAAUCAAUGUUGGGCGAUAAAUGAACAACAAGUUGAUUAAUUUUUACUCAACGGGUUGAGUAAAAUCAACUCUGCCUAUUUAUCAGCCACUUGCAUGCCGUCAGUUGGUUACAGCAAGUCACAAAAGGAGCAGCAACAAAUUUACUCUUCAUUUCUCAAAAUUUACCAAAAAAUGACCCAACGACUGGAAAAAUGUAAGGAACGAUGGUGACGACAAAGUUUUUUAACCACUUCGCCCCUAUAACGACUAUGUGGCGUAUUUGACCUUUACACCGAAUACGACUAUGUGGCGUAAGUUCCCUUGGCUCCGAAAUACGACGAUGUGUCGUAUUGACCCUUGACAACGGGAACGACUAUGUGGCGUAUUUUCCGUUCCCACCGGCAUACGACUAUGUGUCGUAUCCAGAAAAAAAAAUUAGGGCAUUGUUCUUCCAAGUAUAGUUAUGAGUCAAAAAUCCGCCAUUUGGGCGGGAAGACGAAUUGCCUCUUCGGAACCAAUAUUAUAAAGGGAGGUAAAAACAAUUUAUAGCCAACUGGCUAUUUCUAGCUAACACGCCUAGUUUUGAAAACUGCUGUUGCAUGGAAUUUUUGUCCCAUAUUUCAACAGCGCUUUCAGAUUAAAUUAGUGAAAUUGUUUUUCUCGGAUUUAGAACGCCCCACCGACAUUUUUGGCGGGAAAACUAACCACUGUAGCCGAUGAAAUCUCGUUGGGCGGGAAAAUUAAGAGAUUACCUAGAAAGUAGCAUAUAAUUUUCCCGUUAAAAUUGAGUUAUAUUCAAAAUGCGCUAAAGUAUGGUUUCGAACGGUUGAUGCUAUAAUUAUUCAUUACCAGUGCUAUCAAUUUAAAGCCACUGUAGGAAAACGUUUGUUUUCCCGCCCUAAGUAUGCGUAAAUUCUAUGCAUGUUAGAUGUACAAGAAGCAAUUUUUACACAUUUUAGUCUAAUCACAAAAUUAUUUAUAGCCGAUGUCACGAAUUGAAAGC
Molecule: long non-coding RNA, 1255 nt
Organism: Folsomia candida
Lineage: Eukaryota; Metazoa; Arthropoda; Collembola; Entomobryomorpha; Isotomidae
Exons: 2
Source: RefSeq, a predicted model, not a curated record